UCCCCUUUAGCUCAGUUGGUAGAGCACCUGGCUGUUAACCAGGGCGCCGUUGGUUCAAGUCCAACAUGGGGAG
Molecule: transfer RNA, 73 nt
Filed under: Caudoviricetes sp.
Lineage: Duplodnaviria; Heunggongvirae; Uroviricota; Caudoviricetes
Description: tRNA-Asn
Rfam family: tRNA
About the family: Transfer RNA (tRNA) molecules are approximately 80 nucleotides in length. Their secondary structure includes four short double-helical elements and three loops (D, anti-codon, and T loops). Further hydrogen bonds mediate the characteristic L-shaped molecular structure. tRNAs have two regions of fundamental functional importance: the anti-codon, which is responsible for specific mRNA codon recognition, and the 3' end, to which the tRNAs corresponding amino acid is attached (by aminoacyl-tRNA synthetases). tRNAs cope with the degeneracy of the genetic code in two manners: having more than one tRNA (with a specific anti-codon) for a particular amino acid; and 'wobble' base-pairing, i.e. permitting non-standard base-pairing at the 3rd anti-codon position.
Source: RNAcentral